This 341-nucleotide ribosomal RNA is filed under the name Chalcothore montgomeryi. RNAcentral's name for it is "partial 16S ribosomal RNA". The record is from RNAcentral. Lineage: Eukaryota; Metazoa; Arthropoda; Insecta; Odonata; Polythoridae.
AACGGCCGCGGUAUUCUGACCGUGCAAAGGUAGCAUAAUCAUUAGUUCUUUAAUAGGGGACUGGUAUGAAUGGCUCGACGAAGAAUUGACUGUCUCAAUUUAAUUUANUAUAACUUAGCUUUUGGGUUAAAAGGCUUAAAUUUUGUUGGAAGACGAGAAGACCCUAUAGAGCUUUAUACUUUGAUUUUUNAGUUUGGGUUUUGUUUUAUUAUUUUGGGUUAAGAUUUUACGUGUUUUGUUGGGGUGAUAUUAGAUAUACAUUUAACUUUUAUUGUUUNGUGGAACAUUGAUUUAUGANUUAUAUGAUCCAUUAUUAUUGAUCAUUAGAAUAAGUUACCUUA